This 424-nucleotide ribosomal RNA is filed under the name uncultured bacterium. Its description in RNAcentral is "bacterial SSU rRNA". It matches the Rfam family "Bacterial small subunit ribosomal RNA", at positions 355 to 776 of the family's 1533-position model. The record is from RNAcentral.
UAGGGAAUAUUGGGCAAUGGGCGAGAGCCUGACCCAGCCAUGCCGCGUGCAGGAAGAAGGCUUUCUGAGUCGUAAACUGCUUUUGACAGGGAAGAAUAAGCUGGACGUGUCCAGUGAUGACGGUACCUGCAGAAUAAGCACCGGCUAACUCCGUGCCAGCAGCCGCGGUAAUACGGAGGGUGCGAGCGGUGUCCGGAGUUAUUGGGUUUAAAGGGUGCGUAGGCGGCCCGUUAAGUCCGGGGUGAAAGCCCGUUGCUCAACAACGGAACUGCCCUGGAUACUGACGGGCUUGAGUACAGACGAGGUUGGCGGAAUGGACCGAGUAGCGGUGAAAUGCAUAGAUACGGUCCAGAACCCCGAUUGCGAAGGCAGCUGACUAGGCUGUUACUGACGCUGAGGCACGACAGCGUGGGGAGCGAACAGG